UACCAGCACCCCGAGUGGUCGGGACGAUUAUUGGGCCUAAAGCAUCCGUAGCCGGUCAUGCAAGUCUUCCGUUAAAUCCAGCCGCUCAACGGUUGGGCUGCGGAGGAUACUAUAGGGCUAGGAGGCGGGAGAGGCAAGCGGUACUCAGUGGGUAGGGGUAAAAUCCUCUGAUCCAUUGAAGACCACCAGUGGCGAAGGCGGCUUGCCAGAACGCGCUCGACGGUGAGGGAUGAAAGCUGGGGGAGCAAACCGG
RNAcentral lists this ribosomal RNA (253 nucleotides) under uncultured bacterium. RNAcentral describes it as "partial 16S ribosomal RNA". It matches the Rfam family "Archaeal small subunit ribosomal RNA", at positions 474 to 727 of the family's 1478-position model. The record is from RNAcentral.